UAGCUGUUGCCAUAGCAACAAUGAGAGCAAGGGCAGGUUCCCUGGCCCUUGGAAGAGGGACAGAGGCUGGGACAGACAGGGUUGUGGCCAUGGUGCCCUCUUGGUGGCUUUAAGAAGGUUCUGAGCCUGGAGAAGAAAACCAAGAAUUGGAAGGUGGAUACUGGUAGAUCUUGUCCCAGUUGGAGAUGGAGGAAGAUCUCACAGAACCCCCCAAAAGGUUCAGAGGGUCUACCUCUGUGGAGUCAAGAGAAAGCCUGCCUUUGGAGGCUUAGUGUAAUGGAAAAAUCAGGGAACCUGAAAUUAGAAGACAUAAAUUCAAGCCCCAUCUCAGCUAUUUAAUUGUCGAGACCUUGGACAAUCUAUUGUUGUGUGACCUUGGGCAAGCUCUUGCUUUGAUUCAGGAGUAAGGGGAGAGCCAGCUCUAGGGUCUCUUUCAGCUCCAACAUUUCCCCACAUUUGGGGAUUCCCCUCAAAAACCCUUCAGCCAAGAAGAAGCUGGUGGGAGCUGAGUGCAGAUCAAAGCAGGCCAUCUUUCCUUGAUUUCCUUCAUGCGUGUUUUAUUGCAUGUGUGAUAUGUGACUUUUGUCAUGUUAUAGGGAAUAUGGAAAUAUGUAUUGCCCCCAAACCCUGCGAUAACUUGGAUCAGACUAUUGACUGUCUAGGGGGAAGGCAGAAAAUCAGAAUCGAAAAAUGUCAGGUGCCAAAAAUUGUACGGUUAUUGGGGAUGGGAAAAGAGCAUUUAUUUUAAAAUAAAUCAUUAAUUAGUUAAUCAUUAAUUAAAAAAAGAAAAGAAAA
Monodelphis domestica (gray short-tailed opossum) is the source of this 795-nucleotide non-coding RNA. Lineage: Eukaryota; Metazoa; Chordata; Mammalia; Didelphimorphia; Didelphidae. The record is from RefSeq and is a predicted model, not a curated record.